GUGGGGAAUAUUGGACAAUGGGCGCAAGCCUGAUCCAGCCAUGCCGCGUGUGUGAAGAAGGCCUUCGGGUUGUAAAGCACUUUCAGUAGGGAGGAAGCGUUGAGUGUUAAUAGUACUCAACGUUGACGUUACCUACAGAAGAAGCACCGGCUAACUCUGUGCCAGCAGCCGCGGUAAUACAGAGGGUGCAAGCGUUAAUCGGAAUUACUGGGCGUAAAGCGCACGUAGGCGGUUUUUUAAGUCAGAUGUGAAAGCCCCGGGCUCAACCUGGGAAUUGCAUUUGAAACUGGAAAACUAGAGUGUGUGAGAGGGGGGUAGAAUUCCAAGUGUAGCGGUGAAAUGCGUAGAGAUUUGGAGGAAUACCAGUGGCGAAGGCGGCCCCCUGGCACAACACUGACGCUCAGGUGCGAAAGCGUGGGGAGCAAACAGGAUUAGAAACCCUGGUAGUCC
RNAcentral lists this ribosomal RNA (450 nucleotides) under uncultured bacterium. Its description in RNAcentral is "bacterial SSU rRNA". It matches the Rfam family "Bacterial small subunit ribosomal RNA", at positions 354 to 796 of the family's 1533-position model. The record is from RNAcentral.